Aricia agestis (brown argus) is the source of this 182-nucleotide long non-coding RNA. RefSeq lists it as uncharacterized. The transcript is spliced from 3 exons. NCBI's taxonomy places the organism in Eukaryota, Metazoa, Arthropoda, Insecta, Lepidoptera, Lycaenidae. The record is from RefSeq and is a predicted model, not a curated record.
CUCGAUUGUGUCGUCACCUCGUAAACUAUGGAGGGUAGAUAGAGGAGAACUAUUUUAUAUGGGGAAUAUUUGAAAAAGUGUCCAGCUGUACGUAGUAAAUAAUAGUUGAAAAAUCCUCCAAGAGAGGCGCUAGCUGCAGCAAAGGAUAUGAAUUGAAUGUAGCCGUUGGUGACAAAAUAUAA